Molecule: ribosomal RNA, 181 nt
Filed under: Staphylococcus equorum
Lineage: Bacteria; Bacillati; Bacillota; Bacilli; Caryophanales; Staphylococcaceae
Description: partial 16S ribosomal RNA
Rfam family: Bacterial small subunit ribosomal RNA
Source: RNAcentral
CGGUCCAGACUCCUACGGGAGGCAGCAGUAGGGAAUCUUCCGCAAUGGACGAAAGUCUGACGGAGCAACGCCGCGUGAGUGAUGAAGGUUUUCGGAUCGUAAAACUCUGUUAUUAGGGAAGAACAAAUGCGUAAGUAACUGUGCGGAUCUUGACGGUACCUAAUCAGAAAGCCACGGCUAA